This 73-nucleotide transfer RNA is filed under the name Gammaproteobacteria bacterium. RNAcentral describes it as "tRNA-Ala". It matches the Rfam family "tRNA". From Rfam's summary of the family: Transfer RNA (tRNA) molecules are approximately 80 nucleotides in length. Their secondary structure includes four short double-helical elements and three loops (D, anti-codon, and T loops). Lineage: Bacteria; Pseudomonadati; Pseudomonadota; Gammaproteobacteria. RNAcentral also lists the same sequence under 4 other names. The record is from RNAcentral.
GGGGGAUUAGCUCAGUUGGGAGAGCGCUUGAAUGGCAUUCAAGAGGUCAGGGGUUCGAGUCCCCUAUCCUCCA